UUGCUAGGGCCGCUCCCUUAAGCCCAGUGGCUGCGGACCUGCCUGGGAGCAGAGAUGGAGAUGCCCAGGUGGCAGGGAGAGAUCCUAAAUCCUCAGCCUUGUCCUGGCCCACCGCGGAAUGGCCCGGAGAGAUGGGGGGUUGGGGAAGAACAACAGGAUGGGGAAGGGAGGGCCAAUCAGGCUCAUCUGAAUGUAGGUCAGCCACAUCCCACAUAUUGAAUACCAAUAAUCCAUCCCCUGAGAAAGGGCACCCAGGCCGGCCCUCCCUCCAGCCACGCGUCUGGUCCAAGGAGGUGCCAGGGCAGGAAUUAGAAGAGCAUGUCACUAUAUUUCCAGUUGGAGAGGGGUGCUGAGUCUGAGUGAGGAGGUGGUUUCAGUGCCAGGAGGAAUAGAAACUGGCCUAGGGCCUGAAUGGGCCUUGAACCCCUGUGACCACUCCCUUCAAGAAUGUGCCCCAACCUUAAGGACAAGUGAUUCAAAGGAGCCUGAGGGGGAUGGGAGCAAGGAUUUGGCGCCCUUCCUGUAAAACCUGGCUGACACACAAACCUAGCUGGGGUGAGGCUCUAGGUG
RNAcentral lists this non-coding RNA (570 nucleotides) under Pongo abelii (Sumatran orangutan). The record is from RNAcentral. Lineage: Eukaryota; Metazoa; Chordata; Mammalia; Primates; Hominidae.